RNAcentral lists this ribosomal RNA (468 nucleotides) under uncultured bacterium. RNAcentral's name for it is "partial 16S ribosomal RNA". It matches the Rfam family "Bacterial small subunit ribosomal RNA", at positions 28 to 507 of the family's 1533-position model. The record is from RNAcentral.
GACGAACGCUGGCGGCGUGCUUAACACAUGCAAGUCGAACGGAAAGGCCCUGCUUUUGUGGUGUUCUCGAGUGGCGAACGGGUGCGUAACACGUGAGUAACCUGCCCUUGACUUUGGGAUAACUUCAGGAAACUGGGGCUAAUACCGUAUAGGAGCUCCUGCUGCAUGGUGGGGGUUGGAUAUUUUCGGCGGUUGGGGAUGGACUCGCGGCUUAUCAGCUUGUUGGUGGGGUAGUGGCUUACCAAGGCUUUGACGGGUAGCCGGCCUGAGAGGGUGAACGGGCACAUUGGGACUGAGAGACGGCCCAGACUCCUACGGGAGGCAGCAGUGGGGAAUAUUGCACAAUGGGCGGAAGCCUGAUGCAGAAACGCCGCGUGCGGGAUGACGGCCUGCGGGUUGUAAACAGCUUUAGCCUGUGACGAAGCGUGAGUGACGGUAAUGGGUAAAGAAGCACCGGCUAACUACGUG